This 448-nucleotide ribosomal RNA is filed under the name uncultured bacterium. Its description in RNAcentral is "SSU rRNA". It matches the Rfam family "Bacterial small subunit ribosomal RNA", at positions 26 to 518 of the family's 1533-position model. The record is from RNAcentral.
AGAAUGAACGCUGGCGGCAUGCCUAACACAUGCAAGUCGAACGAAGGCUUCGGCCUUAGUGGCGCACGGGUGCGUAACGCGUGGGAAUCUGCCCUUGGGUUCGGAAUAACAGUUAGAAAUGACUGCUAAUACCGGAUGAUGACGUAAGUCCAAGGAUUCCGGCUAGGGAUGAGCCCGCGGCCUAUCAGCUUGUUGGUGGGGUAAUGGCCUACCAAGGCGACGACGGGUAGCCGGCCUGAGAGGGCGACCGGCCACACUGGGACUGAGACACGGCCCAGACUCCUACGGGAGGCAGCAGUGGGGAAUAUUGCACAAUGGGCGAAAGCCUGAUGCAGCGACGCCGCGUGAGGGAUGACGGCCUUCGGGUUGUAAACCUCUUUCAGCUCCGACGAAGCGAAAGUGACGGUAGGAGCAGAGAAGCACCGGCCAACUACGCGCCAGCAGCCGC